UACGGGGGGGGUAAGCGUUGUUCGGAAUUACUGGGCGUAAAGGGCUCGUAGGCGGCCAACUAAGUCGGACGUGAAAUCCCUCAGCUUAACUGGGGAACUGCGUCCGAUACUGGAUGGCUUGGAUUUGGGAGAGGGAUGCGGAAUUCCAGGUGUAGCGGUGAAAUGCGUAGAUAUCUGGAGGAACACCGGUGGCGAAGGCGGCAGCCUGGACCGAGACUGACACUGAGGAGCGAAAGCCAGGGGAGCAAACGGG
This 253-nucleotide ribosomal RNA is filed under the name uncultured bacterium. RNAcentral's name for it is "partial 16S ribosomal RNA". It matches the Rfam family "Bacterial small subunit ribosomal RNA", at positions 524 to 776 of the family's 1533-position model. The record is from RNAcentral.